GUAGGACAUAGCUCAGUUGGUAGAGCAUGAGCCUCUUAAUCUCAGGGUCGUGGGUUUGAGGCCCAGAUUCCUGCA
Non-coding RNA from Podarcis lilfordi (Lilford's wall lizard), 75 nucleotides. The record is from the annotation of a GenBank genome assembly. NCBI's taxonomy places the organism in Eukaryota, Metazoa, Chordata, Lepidosauria, Squamata, Lacertidae.